UUAAUAGAAGCCAAAUUAGAGGCAUAUUACUGUUAAUAAUAUUAUUGAAAUAAAUUUCCUAUUAAG
Molecule: transfer RNA, 66 nt
Filed under: Trapezia rufopunctata
Lineage: Eukaryota; Metazoa; Arthropoda; Malacostraca; Decapoda; Trapeziidae
Description: tRNA-Asn
Source: RNAcentral